UACGGAGGGGGCUAGCGUUGUUCGGAAUUACUGGGCGCAAAGCGCGCGUAGGCGGACCUGCAAGUCGGGGGUGAAAGCCCGAGGCUCAACCUCGGAACUGCCUUCGAUGCUGCGGGUCUCGAGUCCGGGAGAGGUGAGUGGAACUGCGAGUGUAGAGGUGAAAUUCGUAGAUAUUCGCAAGAACACCAGUGGCGAAGGCGGCUCACUGGCCCGGUACUGACGCUGAGGUGCGAAAGCGUGGGGAGCAAACAGG
RNAcentral lists this ribosomal RNA (253 nucleotides) under uncultured bacterium. RNAcentral's name for it is "partial 16S ribosomal RNA". It matches the Rfam family "Bacterial small subunit ribosomal RNA", at positions 524 to 776 of the family's 1533-position model. The record is from RNAcentral.